RNAcentral lists this long non-coding RNA (284 nucleotides) under Dromaius novaehollandiae (emu). Its description in RNAcentral is "lncRNA (ENSDNVG00000011662.1)". The record is from RNAcentral. Lineage: Eukaryota; Metazoa; Chordata; Aves; Casuariiformes; Dromaiidae.
CAUCCUUAACCUAAAAACAUCAGGGUAGAAAAUGAAACCUAGGUCACCAAGAUGCAUAAAAGGACGUUUGAACAGACUGUAUCCAGAGUGAAUACAGAGAAACACGACUCUCCCUUGAAUGUUCUGCUCACUCAGAGGAGUUCACCUGAACACCUUAAUAUUCUGAAGAGUCAUGAGAAAGAUACCAUCUUUUUCCUGCAGAGCUGUGAAAAAGGAUGCAAUAUCUGCCCUUCAGUGUUCAGUAUGCAUCACACUUCAAAAAAACCUCUAGUAUGAUCCUGACA